AUAUAGCGUUAUCACUAUUGGCGGGUUUCGUUGACUUUUUGUGGCUAGUUUUGCAGAAUUGUAAAUAUUGAUGGGUUCGGUUCGUUUGAAAAACCCAACUGUGCAAUUGUAAUGUUGACGUUUAAAUGAGGUACAAUUAAUUCCCUAAAUUGGCUAACUCACAUAAGAUGUUGUCCAUGUCAUUUUGCUUUGUUAUUUGCUACUGUUUGCACUAUUUGCAACGAUAUAUAAUGCAUGGGCAAGUCGCAAACAGUGUCUCGCAUAACAAAGGAAAUUGUAUAUAGCUGUGCCUUAAAUGCUGCACGACCUCAAUAGGUGAACGAUCCAAGAACUGUUUCAUUAGUUUGAUGACACCACGCUGAAAUAUUUACGCAACAAAGGCGCUUCCUUUGUCCAACUGCUCAGUGAAAUAUAACGAUAGCAAGAGCGGCACUAUGUAGCUAGAUCUUUUUUUAACAAACUGCCUUGCCAAUGUGGAUCGUGCAGUGAAUACCCAAGUCAUUUUAUACAGAGUGUAGUUCCUCAGAUUUUUUCCCUGCUCACUUGUUACGAUUGUGGAAAAUGCAUGCGCUGGAAUGAAAGCGAAUACAGAAUAACGCACAGAAGGGUUCUCUCCUAAAUCGUAUUCGGUAACACUGCAUAUUUUCGUGUUGUAUUGAGGUGUCCGCUGCCAGCGUACGAGGGGGCAAUGCCCACUGGGCCAGUGAAAAGAAAACACAAUUAGGGAGCCCACAGACACAGGACGUUCUAGUAGAGCCAGUAGGCUAGUCUCCGCACAUGCAGUUUCAAGUGCAGGAUGAGCAGCAAGCGUAUAAGCAAGUUGAACUGAAAGGGGGAAACCCGAGACUGUAAAUACAUUUACAUGUGUGUAGGGGGGUGUCAUUUGUUAACGGUGUUUUUCAAAUGAGGAUGUUGCUUAAUUUUUGUCGUUUGUCUUUUUUUGAAGUUUUACUUCAUCGAACAAUAAGCGGUUGAUUGCUCCAACGCAUGGCAUGGACUUUGUUCUUAUGUUGAUGGAUUUAGCCCAUGAAUGUUACGAAGGGGACUCAGUAGCAGGAGCACUUUAAGUGUUUGCAGUGGGAGGUGUCCUCUCUGCAGACCCCUGACGGAAAGCCUCACAGACGCAGGCUGGAUGCUCCGGCGUCCGCUCCCCCAGCCCAGAUCCAAUGUCGGGGCCAAAUAAGUUCUGAUUAAACAAAAAAUUUAAACU
This is a long non-coding RNA of Anguilla anguilla (European eel), 1210 nucleotides long. RefSeq lists it as uncharacterized. The transcript is spliced from 2 exons. NCBI's taxonomy places the organism in Eukaryota, Metazoa, Chordata, Actinopteri, Anguilliformes, Anguillidae. The record is from RefSeq and is a predicted model, not a curated record.